AACGAACGCUGGCGGCGCGCCUAAUACAUGCAAGUCGAGCGAGAAGACGUAGCAAUACGUUUGUAAAGCGGCGAACGGGUGAGGAAUACAUGGGUAACCUACCCUCGAGUGGGGAAUAACUAGCCGAAAGGUUAGCUAAUACCGCAUACGACUCUCGGUCUGCGGAUCGAGAGGGGAAGCGAUACCGUGGGUAUCGCGCUCAUGGAUGGGCUCAUGUCCUAUCAGCUUGUUGGUGAGGUAACGGCUCACCAAGGCUUCGACGGGUAGCUGGUCUGAGAGGACGAUCAGCCACACUGGCACUGCGACACGGGCCAGACUCCUACGGGAGGCAGCAGUAAGGAAUAUUGCGCAAUGGGCGAAAGCCUGACGCAGCGACGCCGCGUGAGGGAUGACGGCCUGUGU
RNAcentral lists this ribosomal RNA (402 nucleotides) under uncultured bacterium. RNAcentral's name for it is "bacterial SSU rRNA". It matches the Rfam family "Bacterial small subunit ribosomal RNA", at positions 29 to 421 of the family's 1533-position model. The record is from RNAcentral.